This 351-nucleotide ribosomal RNA is filed under the name uncultured bacterium. RNAcentral's name for it is "partial 16S ribosomal RNA". It matches the Rfam family "Bacterial small subunit ribosomal RNA", at positions 338 to 684 of the family's 1533-position model. The record is from RNAcentral.
CCUACGGGUGGCAGCAGUGAGGAAUAUUGGUCAAUGGGCGCGAGCCUGAACCAGCCAAGUAGCGUGAAGGAUGACUGCCCUACGGGUUGUAAACUUCUUUUAUAAAGGAAUAAAGUGAGGCACGUGUGCCUUUUUGUAUGUAUUUUAUGAAUAAGGAUCGGCUAACUCCGUGCCAGCAGCCGCGGUAAUACGGAGGAUCCGAGCGUUAUCCGGAUUUAUUGGGUUUAAAGGGAGCGUAGAUGGGUGGUUAAGUCAGUUGUGAAAGUUUGCGGCGCAACCGUAUAAUUGCAAUUGAUACUGGCAGAGUGUAGAAUAGAGUAGGGAUAGGCAAUGUGUGUGGUGUAGCUGUGA